UUGCUCUGGAGGACAGUGGCGCACGGGUGAGUAACGCGUAGGCAACCUACCCCUAGAAUUGGAAUAACCUCGGGAAACCGAAGCUAAUACCGAAUGACAUCUUAGAAUCGCAUGAUUCAUAGAUCAAAACUCCGGUGUCUAGGGAUGGGCCUGCGUAGGAUUAGGUAGUUGGUGAGGUAACAGCUCACCAAGCCGACGAUCCUUAGCUGGUCUGAGAGGGCGACCGGCCACACUGGGACUGAGACACGGCCCAGACUCC
Molecule: ribosomal RNA, 259 nt
Filed under: uncultured bacterium
Lineage: Bacteria
Description: partial 16S ribosomal RNA
Rfam family: Bacterial small subunit ribosomal RNA
Source: RNAcentral